This 495-nucleotide ribosomal RNA is filed under the name uncultured bacterium. RNAcentral's name for it is "partial 16S ribosomal RNA". It matches the Rfam family "Bacterial small subunit ribosomal RNA", at positions 28 to 507 of the family's 1533-position model. The record is from RNAcentral.
GACGAACGCUGGCGGCGUGCCUAAUACAUGCAAGUAGAACGCUGAAGGAGGAGCUUGCUUCUCUGGAUGAGUUGCGAACGGGUGAGUAACGCGUAGGUAACCUGCCUGGUAGCGGGGGAUAACUAUUGGAAACGAUAGCUAAUACCGCAUAAUAGUAGAUGUUGCAUGACAUUUGCUUAAAAGGUGCAAUUGCAUCACUACCAGAUGGACCUGCGUUGUAUUAGCUAGUUGGUGGGGUAACGGCUCACCAAGGCGACGAUACAUAGCCGACCUGAGAGGGUGAUCGGCCACACUGGGACUGAGACACGGCCCAGACUCCUACGGGAGGCAGCAGUAGGGAAUCGUCGGCAAUGGACGGAAGUCUGACCGAGCAACGCCGCGUGAGUGAAGAAGGUUUUCGGAUCGUAAAGCUCUGUUGUAAGAGAAGAACGAGUGUGAGAGUGGAAAGUUCACACUGUGACGGUAUCUUAUCAGAAAGAGACGGCUAACUACGUG